ACUGAAGAAAGCAAAGCUUUACCUUAUGGAGCAGUGUUAUACCUGAAUAACACUAGGAAGAAAUCAAUAUGUUUAGUCUGAAGAACUCCAUAUACCAAUUCAAUAUAUUCAAAGAACACUCCGAUCAAGGAGAUCAAAUAUGAGAAAAGAUAUAAAAGACCAAGAAGCUCAUCAACUUACUCAAGUCACUGGCCAUCAGUGUGUCUUUUGUGACCUCCACACAAAGCCACAUCUGUACUAAGAGAUUAUUUAAAUCAUGAAUCCAUGUUAAACGUAGAAACAGUGGGAACGUGAGAGUUUCAAAGCCUGUAUUAAACAAAAGAAGUCUGGAGAGCAAAGCUGAUAAGGAAGCUGAGAAGGCCAUCUACAAUAAGCCAAACAAAAAUAUUACCUACUUUUGCAUAAAAUUAGAACAGCACCAGGAAACUCUCAACUCUACCAAAAGAUGAUUGAACCCCGUGCACUGAACAAAAUUUCACACAACAAUGCCACCAUUGGAAAGUGGUGAGGCCCUGCCUCCCCUGACUGCACGUCCCUGCUCUGAAGUCUGCUACCGGUUCGGUUUGCUACCAGUUCGCUUCUGCUACCGCAAAGUGCUGAAAAAGGAGGUUUAAGAAGCCUUUUCUGAGUCUGCAAAGGAUGAAGUUUGGGCAACUGAAUAGAACUGAGAGUUUAC
Thamnophis elegans (Western terrestrial garter snake) is the source of this 676-nucleotide long non-coding RNA. RefSeq lists it as uncharacterized. The record is from RefSeq and is a predicted model, not a curated record. The transcript has 4 exons. NCBI's taxonomy places the organism in Eukaryota, Metazoa, Chordata, Lepidosauria, Squamata, Natricidae.